This 363-nucleotide ribosomal RNA is filed under the name uncultured bacterium. RNAcentral's name for it is "bacterial SSU rRNA". It matches the Rfam family "Bacterial small subunit ribosomal RNA", at positions 29 to 403 of the family's 1533-position model. The record is from RNAcentral.
AAUGAACGUUGGCGGCGUGGAUUAGGCAUGCAAGUCGUGCGGAAAGGCCCUAGCUUGCUAGGGCACUCGAGCGGCGAAAGGGAGAGUAACGCGUGGGUACCUGCCUCUAGACCCGGGAUAGCCCCGAGAAAUUGGGGGUAAUACCGGAUAAUGUUUCCGAACCAAAGGUGUGAUUCCGUCUAGAGAUGGGCCCGCGUCCUAUUAGCCAGUUGGUGGGGUAAUGGCCUACCAAAGCUGAGAUGGGUACCGGGUGUGAGAGCAUGGCCCGGCUCACUGGGACUGAGACACUGCCCAGACACCUACGGGUGCUGCAGUCGAGAAUCUUCGGCAAUGGGCGCAAGCCUGACCGAGCGACGCCGCGUG